AAAUGGUUUCAAUGAGGGGUGAAACGAAGAUGGGAAAGGGAAAUCCGCCCGACUGUCUGCCAGGAAAAUCCGCUAAGGAGAACGUUCGUAUCCGUACCACAAACCGACACAGGUGGACGAGAUGAGUAUUCUCAGGCGCUCGGGUGAUGGUCUGUUCAGGAACUAGGCAAAUUAGCUCCGUAACUUCGGGAAAAGGAGUGCCCUCGCAAGAGGGUCGCAGCAAAGCGCGUCAGGCGACUGUUUAACAAAAACACAGGUCUCUGCUAAGUCGAAAACGACGUAUAGGGGCUGACGCCUGCCCGGUGCCGGAAGGUUAAAGGGAGAGGUUAGCCGCAAGGCGAAGCUUUGAACUGAAGCCCCGGUGAACGGCGGCCGUAACAAUAACGGUCCUAAGGUAGCGAAAUUCCUUGUCGGGUAAGUUCCGACCUGCACGAAUGGCGUAACGAUCUGACGACUGUCUUAACAGGCCGCCCGGCGAAUUUGUGGUUCCGGUGAAGACGCCGGAUGCCCGCCACAAGACGGAAAGACCCCGUGCACCUUUACUAUACUCUAUCAAUGAAUUAUGGGGUACUCUGCGCAGCAUAGGUGGGAGGCUUUGAACUCGGGUUUUUGGAUUCGAGGGAGCCAACGGUGAGAUACCACCCUGAGUAUUCUGUGAUUCUAACUUCCUCCCGUGAUCCGGGAGAAGGACAUUGGUAGACGGGUAGUUUGUCUGGGGCGGUCGCCUCCUAAAUAGUAACGGAGGCGUUCGAAGCUUGGUUCAGGAGGUUUGGAAAUCCUCCUUUGAGUACAAUGGCAUAAACCAGGUUGACUGCGAGACCUACAAGUCAAGCAGGUACGAAAGUAGGACAUAGUGAUCCGGUGGUUCUGUAUGGAAGGGCCUUCGCUCAACGGAUAAAAGGUACGCCGGGGAUAACAGGCUGAUCGGAGUCAAGAGUUCAUAUCGACGCUCCGGUUUGGCACCUCGAUGUCGGUUCAUCGCAUCCUGGGGGUGUAGAAGCUCCCAAGGGUUAGGCUGUUCGCCUAUUAAAGCGGUACGUGAACUGGGUUCAGAACGUCGCGAGACAGUUCGGUCCCUAUCUGUGGUGGGCGCAGGAGAUUUGAGAGGGGUUGACCCUAGUACGAGAGGACCGGGUUGAACGAACCUCCUGUGAUCCAGUUGUCACACCAGUGGCACAGCUGGGUAGCGAAGUUCGGUCGGGAUAAGCGCUGAAUGCAUAUAAGCGCGAAACCUUCCUCAAGAUGAGAUCUCCCAAGCGAAAGCUAAGAAGGGCCGUGGAAGACUACCACGUCGAUAGGACGGAUGUGUAAGUGCAGUAAUGUGCUAAGCUGACCGUUACUAAUAGCCCGUUCGGCUUGACCG
This 1363-nucleotide ribosomal RNA is filed under the name metagenome. RNAcentral describes it as "bacterial LSU rRNA". It matches the Rfam family "Bacterial large subunit ribosomal RNA", at positions 1538 to 2925 of the family's 2925-position model. The record is from RNAcentral.